GACUACAUGAAGCUGGAAUCGCUAGUAAUCGCGGAUCAGAAUGCCGCGGUGAAUACGUUCCCGGGUCUUGUACACACCGCCCGUCACACCAUGGGAGUCGGAAAUGCCCGAAGUCUGUGACCCAACCGUAAGGAGGGAGCAGCCGAAGGCAGGUCGGAUGACUGGGGUGAAGUCGUAACAAGGUAGC
RNAcentral lists this ribosomal RNA (187 nucleotides) under uncultured bacterium. RNAcentral's name for it is "partial 16S ribosomal RNA". It matches the Rfam family "Bacterial small subunit ribosomal RNA", at positions 1314 to 1500 of the family's 1533-position model. The record is from RNAcentral.